UUUUACUAGGAAUUAUUAGUAAUAAAAUCUGCUCAAUGAUAUUUAAAUAGCCGCAAAAUCUGUGCUAAGGGAGCAUAAUAAUUCGUUUUUUAAUUGAAAACUAGAACAAAUGAUUUAACAUUUUAAUAUAUAUAUAUAUAUAUAUAUAUAUUUUAAAUUAUCUUAAAUGUAAAAAGACAUUUUUAAAAAAGGAAGACGAUAAGACCCUACUGAACUUUACUAUAGUUUUACUGGGGCAGUUAAUUAAUUAAAAUUUUAAUUUAAAUAUACUAUAAAAAAUCUAAUUUAAUUAAAUAAACAAGUUACCAUAGGGAUGACAGUGUAAUAUAUAUUUAAAGUUCUUAUAUAAAUAAAUGAUUACAACCUCGAUGUUGAAUUAUAUUUUUUUUUCCGAAAAAGGAAAAAAAGAGGGUCUGUUCGACUUUUAAAAAAUAACA
RNAcentral lists this ribosomal RNA (437 nucleotides) under Sesieutes cf. schwendingeri MR044. RNAcentral describes it as "partial 16S ribosomal RNA". Lineage: Eukaryota; Metazoa; Arthropoda; Arachnida; Araneae; Liocranidae. The record is from RNAcentral.